GCGUAGGUGGGUAGGUAAGUCAGCGGUGAAAUCCCCGAGCUUAACUUGGGAACUGCCAUUGAUACUAUCUGUCUUGAAUACCUUGGAGGUGAGCGGAAUAUGUCAUGUAGCGGUGAAAUGCUUAGAUAUGACAUAGAACACCAAUUGCGAAGGCAGCUCACUACACGGUCAUUGACACUGAGGCACGAAAGCGUGGGGAUCAAACAGGAUUAGAUACCCUGGUAGUCCACGCCCUAAACGAUGGAUACUCGACAUCAGCGAUACACUGUUGGUGUCUGAGCGAAAGCAUUAAGUAUCCCACCUGGGAAGUACGACCGCAAGGUUGAAACUCAAAGGAAUUGG
Molecule: ribosomal RNA, 342 nt
Filed under: uncultured bacterium
Lineage: Bacteria
Description: bacterial SSU rRNA
Rfam family: Bacterial small subunit ribosomal RNA
Source: RNAcentral